GUGACAACUGUCGACGAUGAUGGCGCCAAGACCGUGGAGGCUAUUGAGGAAUCUGUAGUAGCAGUCUCUGCCCCUCCACCAUCGGAGAAACAGGAGGGGGAGGCUUCUGGUUCCAAAGAAGUAGAGGUAGCUCCUUUACCAGAGGAGCCAAAAGAAGCUGAAGUUCCUCCACCUCCACCCGAAGAGGUGUCUAUAUGGGGAAUUCCGCUUCUUGCUGACGAAAGGAGCGAUGUGAUCCUGUUGAAAUUCUUGAGGGCAAGGGAUUUCAAAGUAAAAGAUGCAUUUAUUAUGAUCAAGAACACUGCUCGCUGGCGAAAGGAGUUUGGAAUUGAAGGCUUGCUUGAUGAGGAUCUUGGAAAUGAAUUGGAGAAAGUGGUUUUUAUGCAUGGGUUCGAUAAGGAAGGUCAUCCUAUUUGCUACAACGUGUAUGGGGAAUUCCGAAAGAAAGAGUUGUAUCAGAAUACUUUUGCCGAUGAGGAAAAACGAUCCAAGUUCUUGAGGUGGAGGAUUCAAUUCUUGGAAAAGAGUAUUAGGAAGCUGGACUUCAGUCCUAGUGGUAUCUGUACCAUGGUUCAGGUCAAUGAUCUCAAGAAUUCUCCUGGACCUACCAAAAAGGAGCUCAGGCAGGCCACCAAUCAGGCACUUAACUUGCUUCAAGAUAACUAUCCUGAGUUUGUAGCUAAACAGGUACACGCAACUUGUCAAAUAUAAAAGAAAAGAAUUUUAAUAUUUUUAUUAUAUGUUAAAAUUUAAAAUAAUUCAAUGGUGGUUUUGGAUUUUGAAGGUGUUCAUCAAUGUUCCAUGGUGGUACUUGGCCUUCAAUAGGAUGAUUAGCCCUUUCCUAACUCAGAGAACCAAGAGCAAGUUUGUGUUUGCAGGUCCAGCCAAAUCUGCUGAGACUCUCUUCAGGUAAGCAGACUCUAAUAAUUUCAGUCCUUUUUUUAUUUGCUUGCCCAUGAAUAAGAAUCUAUAUUUAUUUCUAAUUGAGCACUCAUAGUCAUAGAUCUCUCUAGACAUUAUUUUGUUUUAUAUUAUUGUGCUGUUUGAUCAAAGAUGAAUGAUUCCUUUGAUUCCUUUUUCUAAUCAUAAAUCCCCUCUCUCUAUUAUUUUUC
Molecule: long non-coding RNA, 1112 nt
Filed under: Durio zibethinus
Lineage: Eukaryota; Viridiplantae; Streptophyta; Magnoliopsida; Malvales; Malvaceae
Description: long non-coding RNA (DZIB_LNC001377)
Source: RNAcentral